This 804-nucleotide ribosomal RNA is filed under the name uncultured euryarchaeote. Its description in RNAcentral is "bacterial SSU rRNA". It matches the Rfam family "Archaeal small subunit ribosomal RNA", at positions 52 to 859 of the family's 1478-position model. Lineage: Archaea; Methanobacteriati; Methanobacteriota. The record is from RNAcentral.
UGCUAGUCGCGCGGUGUUAGACCCGCGGCAUAUAGCUCAGUAACACGUGGCCAAACUACCCUACGGACCGCGAUAACCUCGGGAAACUGAGGCCAAUAGCGGAUAUCACUCUCACGCUGGAGUGCCGAGAGUGAGAAACGUUCCGGCGCUGUAGGAUGUGGCUGCGGCCGAUUAGGUAGAUGGGGGGGUAAUGGCCCCCCAUGCCCAUAAUCGGUACAGGUUGUGACAACAAGAGCCUGGAGACGGUAUCUGAAACAAGAUACCGGGCCCUACGGGGCGCAACAGGGGCGAAACCUUUACACUGCACGAGAGUGCGAUAGGGGGACUCCGAGUGCGAGGGCAUAUAGUCCUCGCUUUUCUGAACCGUAAGGUGGUUCAGGAACAAGUGCUGGGCAAGACCGGUGCCAGCCGCCGCGGUAAUACCGGCAGCACGAGUGAUGGCCGAUAUUAUUGGGCCUAAAGCGUCCGUAGCUUGCUGUGUAAGUCCAUUGGGAAAUCCACGCGCUCAACGCGUGGGCGUCCGGUGGAAACUGCACGGCUUGUGGCCGAGAGACUCAACGAGUACGUCCGGGGUAGGAGUGAAAUCCUGUAAUCCUGGACGGACCACCAAUGGGGAAACCACGUUGAGAGACCGGACCCGACAGUGAGGGACGAAAGCCAGGGUCUCGAACCGGAUUAGAUACCCGGGUAGUCCUGGCUGUAAACGAUGCUCGCUAGGUAUGUCACGCGCCAUGAGCGCCUGAUGUGCCGUAGUGAAGACGAUAAGCGAGACGCCUGGGCAGUACGUCCGCAAGAUGAACUUAA